CCAUGGCUCAGCUGGUAGAGCGACGCACUCGUAAUGCGUAGGUCGCCGGUUCAAAUCCGGCUG
RNAcentral lists this transfer RNA (63 nucleotides) under bovine gut metagenome. It matches the Rfam family "tRNA", at positions 6 to 65 of the family's 71-position model. From Rfam's summary of the family: Transfer RNA (tRNA) molecules are approximately 80 nucleotides in length. The record is from RNAcentral.